AAUAUUGCGCAAUGGGGGAAACCCUGACGCAGCAACGCCGCGUGAAGGAAGAAGGCCUUCGGGUUGUAAACUUCCUUGAUUAGGGACGAACAAAUGACGGUACCUAAGGAACAAGCCACGCCGAACCACACGCCCGCAGCCGCGGCAAUACGCAGGUGGCCAGCGUUGUCCGGAAUUACUGGGUGUAAAGGGCGUGUAGGCGGGAAUGCAAGUCAGAUGUGAAAUGCCGGGGCUUAACCUCGGCGCUGCAUCUGAAACUGUAUUUCUUGAGUAUCGGAGAGGAAAGCGGAAUUCCCAGUGUAGCGGUGAAAUGCGUAGAGAUUGGGAGGAACACCAGUGGCGAAGGCGGCUUUCUGGACGAAAACUGACGCUGAGGCGCGAAAGCGUGGGGAGCAAACAGG
This 401-nucleotide ribosomal RNA is filed under the name uncultured bacterium. Its description in RNAcentral is "partial 16S ribosomal RNA". It matches the Rfam family "Bacterial small subunit ribosomal RNA", at positions 360 to 776 of the family's 1533-position model. The record is from RNAcentral.